UUACAUUUUUGGUAUCAGAGCGGAGGUUUAAAAUCUUUUCUGAAGACAGAAGAAGGCAUAUGAACAUACUUUGGCUGGGAAGCUUGGUUAACUCUUUUCUUAUUUACCUAUGUGUUUAAUUUAUAUGUUGCAUAGCAAAUAUCCAGAAUUGUUCGGUACGUCAAAUUUCGAGGGCGAAAUUUUAUAAGGAGGGAAGAAUUGUAAUGCCCAACCAUCCAUACAUGGCCAAUAAUAAGCAUAUUGCAUCAAUGCAUAUAGUUAUAAUUCAUUAUUCAUGAUGCAUGAUCACGACUACUUGCUACACAUGUGCCUUAAUUGUGUUUUACUACGUGAUCGAAUACUUUUCUUAAACUGUGAUAAUACAUGAUACAUGUUAUUGAACUUCUACUUUAUGAUUUAACAUUAACUUAAAUGAUUUAUUGUAGUGAGAAGUUAAGUUUCUCGCUAAACGGUGAUAUAUUUGUCUUAGAUGCAUUUCCGCAUUUUAAUUAUGUUUUAAUAUGAUUAAUUACAUAUGUAAUUAUUUGAAGUAACUCAUAUUAGACUAAAACCAAAAGUAUGCAAAAUGGUGCAUUUUGAUUGGUUGGUUGACUAGGUUGCACGAGACCAUUCUGAAAUUGUUUACACUUGAUUAUAAUGAGUAUGCAUCAGCCCAUAUCUUAUCUCAAGCUAUAAAAACGUGGAGGAACCACAAGAAUCCAGCAAAUAAAAGCCUUCCAAUCACCAUCCUCCAUUUGGCCUUGUUGGGAAUGGGUAGAUAAGUGAAGACUUUGUGUUUUGGUCUUCAUUUUCACUUGUCUUCUUCCAAAAACGACCAGACCGAUUUCCUUAAUCUUGUCUUCAUAUUUCUUCACUUCCAUACUCACAUAAGAGAGCAUCAAACCAUAAAAACUCAUAGAAGUAGAGCUAGAACAAGUUCUGCACCUUUUCUAGCUGAAAAUCCUAUGUUUUGAAGUUGAAUUCAUCUCUAAUCAAGGCUUCUAGCACACCUUAUCUAAAACUGAUCCUUUCAUUUCAUAAACCAUUAUUGAUCUUGAGGUAAGUUGAAGCUUUCAUUUGUACAUCGUAAGAACCUAAUUAUGUGCGCUUUAAUGUGACUUUUGCUAUGUAUUCUCUAUGAUGUUUGAAUGAUUGAUGAGUCAUAGUGAUAUGAAAGAAUAUGUUUUGAAAAUGGGAGUAUGGUAUUUGAUUGAUGGUCGAGUAGGCAAGGGACGCGGGAGGAACCGGCGGACCCAACACAUGGUGGCAAAUACCUGAGGUCGAAAGACCAGUAUGGAAAACCCACAAUUAAAGAAAUGAAAUACGGCUAAUACCUUAGGUCGAAAGGCCGGUAUGGAAACCCACGUAUUAUCUAUUGGCCAAAUUUGAUGAACAGGUUCCGAAAAUCAAAGUCUAUUGCUAUCAGUCAAGUACCACACUUCAAGGGUACCCGAUAAAGAGAAGGAUUUCAAAGAAAAGGAUCACGAAUGAAGUUAUAGAUGUGAUAUUGUACUUAUUGAAUGGAUAAUGUGUUAUGUGAUUGAUAUAUUGCUAUUACAUCAGUUUGAACUUGCUGAGCCAUUAGCUCAUUAGGUUCUUAUGAUGCAGGUAAUGAUGUACAUGUUUAGAAGUUGACCUAGCCAAGAGCAGCCAGUCAGAUAUUUGUUCAUAUGCCAUGCUUCGAGCCAUUUUUGUAGCCGAGCAGAAACUCUGAUUUCAUUUUGUUAGCCGCUCUAUUAUGGUUUUUGUACAAUGUAAUUUUGUAAACAAUGAAUAUAUAUAUGUACAUAUUUUGAGAAAGUACAAAGUUUGAUUUCUUUUCAAAGCAUAUAACGUAUUUUUAUAUUAAAACCAUAAUGUUUAAGUAUAUAUAUAUAUAAAAAGCUUAGCAUCCCUAACUUAAUGGCGGUGAUCCGAUUGGAUUCUGCUGUUAGGUUGUGCGGUGUUACAUUUUUGGUAUCAGAGCGGAGGUUUAAAAUCUUUUCUGAAGACAGAAGAAGGCAUAUGAACAUACUUUGGCUGGGAAGCUUGGUUAACUCUUUUCUUAUUUACCUAUGUGUUUAAUUUAUAUGUUGCAUAGCAAAUAUCCAGAAUUGUUCGGUACGUCAAAUUUCGAGGGCGAAAUUUUAUAAGGAGGGAAGAAUUGUAAUGCCCAACCAUCCAUACAUGGCCAACAAUAAGCAUAUUGCAUCAAUGCAUAUAGUUAUAAUUCAUUAUUCAUGAUGCAUGAUCACGACUACUUGCUACACAUGUGCCUUAAUUGUGUUUUAAUACGUGAUCGAAUACUUUUCUUAAACUGUGAUAAUACAUGAUACAUGUUAUUGAACUUCUACAUUAUGAUUUAACAUUAACUU
RNAcentral lists this long non-coding RNA (2333 nucleotides) under Erythranthe guttata (spotted monkey flower). RNAcentral describes it as "long non-coding RNA (EGUT_LNC002575)". The record is from RNAcentral. Lineage: Eukaryota; Viridiplantae; Streptophyta; Magnoliopsida; Lamiales; Phrymaceae.